AGCAACUCACGAGGAAACACAUCCGCAGUCUUCACACCACCCCAGAGCGGUUGGAGAGGAAGAUGAUGUGUAUACAUGUGUGGAAGAUGCCUCUGAUUAGAAUGAAACAGGUACACAGGUACCCUAGAUGCCACUCCCCCAGUGUUGAAUGCAGUAACUCAGGAGCUGUCGAGCCAUACCUAUAACCAUACUAUAACCAUAAACAUGUGAAUAUGGCCACUGUCGAUUUCCAACAGACACCUAUAUUUAGAGCACUGCAGCUGGAUAUUCAAUAGGAAGCCAAUCCUUUUCUUAUACAUGGACAUACAAAUCUUGUACACAGAGAAGUGUUACAAUGUCAUUGUGCAUGUUGAUCUGAAUAAGAAACAUCAUCCAAAGAUUUCAUUUUUAUAUUAUUUCAGAUGAUUUAGCUUUUACCUGUCAUGCACAAACCUAUGUACUUGUACUUUUAAUCAAUAAAAAUGACAAAAAUAA
Long non-coding RNA from Anguilla anguilla (European eel), 474 nucleotides. RefSeq lists it as uncharacterized. Lineage: Eukaryota; Metazoa; Chordata; Actinopteri; Anguilliformes; Anguillidae. The transcript is spliced from 2 exons. The record is from RefSeq and is a predicted model, not a curated record.